UAUCUUGUAAUAUAUUUAGAUAUUACCAUUUGAGAUCAUUCUACAUGUGUAAUAUGGUGUCUUGACUUUUUCACUUAACAUGUCCUAAACAUUUUGUCAUGUCAUUAAAAACAUUAUAUAAUCAUUUAGUUUUCAUGGUUACAUAAUAAUAAUCCAUCACAUUAUAUUAUUUUGAUUGACUUAGUCAUUCUCCUUUUAUUUGGCAAUUAGUGUUUGGAACUUUUUGGGUUGGUGUUAGGUUGCUUUUAGAUCAUUCUAACUUACUAGGCCAGGCUUUUUUAGGAGUUGAGCCUUGUGUUUGCUUUUGAGGUUGGUUUUUUUGUGUUGACUGUGUGACUUAAGCUGGGAUUUUAAAUGUCUGACCCUAUAUUCUCAGACUUUUGCCUUCUGUUCUGGACUAUCUCCAUGCUUGUUUGCUUUUCAAUCUUUCUUUGGUGAGUUUCUUUUCAUAAUCCUGUGCUGGAAGAAAGAUGAAUGGAGACCAGGAUUAGUAUUUUGGUCUCUGACCCUGCAGUGCCACGUGAAUGCCCAGGAACUAGCCAGAGUAAACAGCAGUUGCAUGUUAAUGGAUCUUUACUGAGGUAACCAUGCCGAGAAGUUUCUAGUGAGAAGACUGUCCUAAAUUGUUCUUGACAAGCUUAAGAGUUGGACAGUGGAGGACCUUCGGAAGAGGCUCUUGGCCCUCGACCCCAUGAUGGAGCAGGAGAUUGAAGAGAUCCGGCAGAAGUACCAGUCCAAGCGGCAGCCCAUCUUGGAUGCCAUUGAGGCGAAGAAGCGGCGGCAGCAGAACUUCUGAGCCAGGCCAGCGGAAGGGCCCACUCCCACACGGCCCUCGGUGAGCUCGGCUCGCUCGCUGCUCAGGCGUGUUAGCCACCACUCUGCCGUUGCUUCUCCACGCACCUUUGUGAACUCAGGAACGUGCGCCAGAGGGAAGGGCUGUCUCGCUGGUUAGCGAGCGAGAUGUCUUGGUGUGUGUGAGUGUCUCAGUCGGUCAGGUUUAUUAUCUCAAAGGACUUAUAUGGGCACUUUUAAACUCAGAGUUUCAAACCCCAGGAACAGAGACGCCUAGUCCAAUGGUAGCUGGGAAAGUUUUACAUUGUCUUUUGUUUUUCUUCUCCCAAUAGCUUUCAACUGUUCUCUCUGGAAGACUUUUUAAAAACUAUAAAUAUGCAUAUAUGUGUAAAUUGUAACUAGAUUCCCCACUCAGUGUGGUGGCAUCUCUGUACAGGUACAGUUCUAAGCAGUUUGCCUCUUUUCUGUGAGAUUAUGGUACUGUGGAACAGAGGGCAGGCACCCUGGGGCCAUGGGGCCACUCCACUCCCAGGAGCCAACCUCACCCUUUUGCAGGGCUGCUUAUUUAAAAAUUAGGUCCGGGCCAGUUUUCACCACAUUUCAGCCUUGCGUGGGUCAUCCCUAGCUCCCGGAGCUGCUGGUGGCGCUCAAGGGAAAGCCUUGAGAGUCCUGUUUACUUUAAGUCCCAGGAGAAGCCUGGCGCCUUCUCUGCAAAUUGGCCUUUGUGGUUUCAGCGCCUUUUAUCCACCUCCACUCUCCCGACUGCCUGAGUCACAGCACAGAUCCUGCCCAGUGCCUUAAGAGGAGACAUGACCCAGUGAGGGGACAGGCCUGCUAGGAUCUCCCGGCAAACACGGGGCUAUGAUCAGUCCACAACAGGGAAAGGGCUUUGAAGUUCUCAUUGUUCAUGUGAAGGUCACACGUGUGGCAUUUUGCACUGCAUUCCUUACAGACGGGUAGCGGGCAUUGAUUUUGUGAUCCACAUUCAAAUAUGUGACUUUUUUAUUUUACUGCUAAGGGGUCUGGAAGGGAUAGUGAAUGUCAGACUAAGAUUUGUUCUCCAGGAGGCUCAACACAGACACGUGGAAGCCAGAGCUGGAAGGGACCCUAGCUGUCAUCUGGUGUGGCUGAGGCUUGGAGAGGGCAAGCAGCAUGACCAAAAUCACAAAGCAGGUGGAAGUGGGAGCUGGGACUACACCUCGGGCUGCUCCCUCCCCCAUUCACUGAACCGAGCAGCCCCUUCUCCAAGGGAAGAGACCUGUGUCACGUUUGGUUAAGUUACUCCAGGCAAGCCUGCUAAUGGGAACUUGCUCUUGCUUUGUCCCUUCAAUGGGUGAGGCUAUGAAGAGAUUCCCAGGGGAGCCAGAUCUUGUGCCAGCCACUCCAUGGCCUCUGCACCAUCUGCCGGAUAGCAGACAGGCCUCGUGCAGGCAGAUUUAAGGCCAAAAGCAGAGCAGAAGGCUCGAAGAAGACAGCACUGAGCCCUUCUGCAGCGUUGGCUCGGGGCCACCUGUCACUUAGUCACACGGCAAAGAGGAGACAGUUGGGAAGGGCAAAUGUGUUUUUAUUUUCAAAUAUCUCUUCCUCUCAGAUAGGGGGCUGUGCCAGGGUUGCACCUAAGGACACUGAAAUUUGACCCCAGAAUUGUUUUUGCUUCCCAAACCUGGGAAUCAAUGGGAAGGCAGGGAAUGUUCCUCUUCUGUGGCCAGAUUCUGUUCUUUGCAAUUAAAGCAAGUUUUAAAAAAUGCAAGAGGCAGUUGUUCUGCAGGGCUUGGCCAGUUAAGCAGCUGUGUGGCAGAGACAGAGAACAGAGGACAAUUUGAGGGUCUCCCUGGAAUUAUAAAUGGCAGCUAGCAUUCGCUGACCACAUGAUGUGCCAGGCACAUUGCUCAGUAGACUCUUUCUGUCAGCUCCAAAUUUCACAAUAACUCUGUGAGUUAAGGACUUUAUCUCCAUUUCAUAGACAAAGAAACGGGUUCGGAGAAGGCAGUACCGCUAGUAAGUGAUAGAACCAGGAUUCGUAACAUCACUGUAUGGGACCAGCAUUUACAGGGGAAAGUCUCUUUUUAAUGAAGGGACCACCUUUUCUCACUCAGACUAAAUAACUCUUAACGGGCAUUUUUAAGCUUGGAAGCAGCUGAAUUAGUAGUCAAGUCUGACAGCCAAGUGAGUUUUAAAAACCAUAUCAUGGAGCAGGCACUCCCCCACACCAGCUGCUGUGCUAAUUAGCAGUCCGGCCUCGGCCUCUUGCUUUUUUAAAAAGGACUUUGCACUUGGCCAGACAGGAGGGCAAUGCCCUUUUCCUGUCUUCCUAAGCUAGAGCUAAGUAAAACAAGUUUCAGUUUUUCCCCAUAAAUAUUCUUGAAUCUUGAUCUGGAGUUUAUUUUGUUUCAAGCAUGUGUGCACCCAACAUGCUGGUCCAACAAAGUGCAUUGCUCUUCAGUCUAGCUGGACAUAGUCUUCUGCCAGAAAUCAAUUUCUUUUGGAUCAGAUAAACUUCCUGACCAGUUGUAUUUGUUUUCUAGUGACAGGAAGGCAGAGGAGCAAAUCCUAGUCAUGUUUUGCCUUGAAUACUAAUGGAGCCCUGAGUGGCAGUCAUUGCUCAAGCACUUGUGACUCAAGCUUCCAGGGAACUCGUAGCCCCUUGUUCUCUCCUUCUAAGAAACGAUGACCCACACCUAAUAGUGUCUUUAAAAAAUCUCGAAUUCUCUAAGAAUAUCUUUAUUGCUUCCUCAUCAAUAAUUUUUAAGCAAAUUUCUAUUUUUCCUUCUCCAUUAUUCCUUCUCCCAACCAUUCGGUUGAUGGAUGAGUGUUUGGGUGGGUGGAUGGAUGGAUGGAUGGAUGAUUGAUAGACAGACAGACCAACUGACGCAAUACUCUGAAGCAACUUAAGAACUGUAACCUUAACUUCUUGAGACUACAGAUUCUGAUCCAGGUAAUGUUUAUUUAGCACCUAGCAGGUGCCAGAAAUUUAUUAUACCAUUUAAAACUCAGUAGCUCUUAGCAACAUCAGGAAUGAGAGAGGUCUUUAUUGAUCCGACAGGCUAAUAUUAUGAACAACUUUAUGAACAAUUUUAUGCUAAUAAAUUCAACAACUUAAGUGAAAUAGACUAAUUGAAAGUAAAAAGUACUAAACUCACUCAAGAAGAAAUAGAUAAGCUGAAUAGUCCUAUAUUAAAACAUAAUAGCUCUGGGAGAUCUAGGUAUUUAAAACAUAAUAGCUCUGGAAGAUACAGGUAUAUUGUCCUCCUUUACAGAUAAGGAAGCAGGCUCACAGAGAUGAAGUCUGUUGCUCAAGGUUACAUAGCUAGAAUUUGGCAGAGCCAGGAUUCAAAUUCAGUUCUGAUUCUUAUUCCAGUGCCCUUUCCAGCAUACCAUGUUGCCUCUAAAGAUUGCAGCUCCUUAUUUACUAUAAAACUGUUUCUGUCCACUCCACACCCUCUCACCCCAUCCUUUCUUAAGCACUGUGUUUGUGUUUUCAUCAGGAUUAUAUUCAUUGUCUUUGGAAUCCAUGUUCUUAUUUGUGUUUGGGGGGGGGGAAAUUCUUCCACCAGCUUGUACGCAGAUCAACUUGGAAAAAAAUGCAUAAAUGCUGUUGCAGAUGUACAACUUAAAAAAAAAUGUGAAGUUUGUAGCUUUAACUUUUUGUAACAAGAACUAAUAACACUGGCUUUAGUGUUGACUUGAAAUGCUGUUUUAUAAGGUUUGGAUGUAAAUAAUCAGUCAAAGUCAGUAGUUUGUAUAUGUAUGAGACAUAGCUUCCUUCUUCACCUUGUUUUUAAUUUGAGAUGCUUCCUAUGUGCUCUUAUGUUGGAAUUGUCUUCCCUCCUUCCUUCUUCCUAUACCUUUGUUUUAAAUAAAGGCUGUCCUUUUUCUAAAUAUGA
Molecule: long non-coding RNA, 4676 nt
Organism: Myotis brandtii (Brandt's bat)
Lineage: Eukaryota; Metazoa; Chordata; Mammalia; Chiroptera; Vespertilionidae
Exons: 2
Source: RefSeq, a predicted model, not a curated record